Molecule: ribosomal RNA, 468 nt
Filed under: uncultured bacterium
Lineage: Bacteria
Description: partial 16S ribosomal RNA
Rfam family: Bacterial small subunit ribosomal RNA
Source: RNAcentral
GACGAACGCUGGCGGCGUGCUUAACACAUGCAAGUCGAACGGAAAGGCCCUGCUUUUGUGGGGUGCUCGAGUGGCGAACGGGUGAGUAACACGUGAGUAACCUGCCCUUGACUUUGGGAUAACUUCAGGAAACUGGGGCUAAUACCGGAUAGGAGCUCCUGCUGCAUGGUGGGGGUUGGAAAGUUUCGGCGGUUGGGGAUGGACUCGCGGCUUAUCAGCUUGUUGGUGGGGUAGUGGCGUACCAAUGCAUUGACGGGUAGCCGGCCUGAGAGGGUGACCGGCCACAUUGGGACUGAGAUACGGCCCAGACUCCUACUGGAGGCAGCAGUGGGGAAUAGUGCACAAUGGGCGGAAGCCUGAUGCAGCAACGCCGCGUGCGGGAUGACGGCCUUCGGGUUGUAAACCGCUUUCGCCUGUAACGAAGCGUGAGUGACGGUAAUGGGUAAAGAAGCACCGGCUAACUACGUG